Molecule: long non-coding RNA, 282 nt
Filed under: Daucus carota (carrot)
Lineage: Eukaryota; Viridiplantae; Streptophyta; Magnoliopsida; Apiales; Apiaceae
Description: long non-coding RNA (DCAR_LNC004051)
Source: RNAcentral
CAUCAUCUUCACCCAAAUCGUAAUAAUGGACCUCUUACCACCAUUACCAGACGUUUCUAUGACUUGCCACCAUUGUCUAUCAUCACCAAUAGUCACAUACACUUUCCAUCAUAACUUACAAAACUAACGACUACUUCCCAUCAUCAUACAACUUCUCUUGCGGCUUCCUACCGCCAAGAACCUUCCUACGGAUGAAAUUGAUCAUCUAUAAUCGAUUAUCAAUAGUUUAGAUAAGUAGAUUUUCUCAAUUUUGAUAAUAAAAAUCGCUGUUUACAUACUGCA